Molecule: non-coding RNA, 28 nt
Filed under: Rattus norvegicus (Norway rat)
Lineage: Eukaryota; Metazoa; Chordata; Mammalia; Rodentia; Muridae
Source: RNAcentral
CGCCAAGCUACAGUAUUCCAGAGUGUCC